This 72-nucleotide transfer RNA is filed under the name Adineta vaga. RNAcentral's name for it is "tRNA-Ala for anticodon UGC". It matches the Rfam family "tRNA". From Rfam's summary of the family: Transfer RNA (tRNA) molecules are approximately 80 nucleotides in length. Their secondary structure includes four short double-helical elements and three loops (D, anti-codon, and T loops). The record is from RNAcentral. Lineage: Eukaryota; Metazoa; Rotifera; Eurotatoria; Adinetida; Adinetidae.
GGGCGUGUAACUCAGGGGUAGAGUGUUCGCUUUGCAUGCGAAAAGUCCUGGGUUCAAAUCCCAGCUCGUCCA